Molecule: long non-coding RNA, 250 nt
Filed under: Homo sapiens (human)
Lineage: Eukaryota; Metazoa; Chordata; Mammalia; Primates; Hominidae
Description: HSALNT0400771
Source: RNAcentral
GGGCGCCUGUAGUCCCAGCUACUCGGGAGGCUGAGGCAGGAGAAUGGCGCGAACCCGGGAGGUGGAGGUUGCAGUGAGCCGAGAUUGCGCCACUGCACUCAAGCCUGGGUGACAGAGUGAGACUCUAUCUCAAAAACAAAAAAAAAACAAAAAAGGUGAAAAAAAGUGAAGGUGGAAACAGAAGAGGAAAUAUUCUUUUUUGUUUUGUAACAGGGUCUUACUCUGUCAACUAGGUUGGAGUGCAGUGCUG